This 308-nucleotide long non-coding RNA is filed under the name Carica papaya (papaya). RNAcentral's name for it is "long non-coding RNA (CPAP_LNC010051)". Lineage: Eukaryota; Viridiplantae; Streptophyta; Magnoliopsida; Brassicales; Caricaceae. The record is from RNAcentral.
AUUACAUAAAAUAUGAUAUAAUUUAAAUAUUAUAGAUAUCAAAUUGUAUGUUAUUAUGGAAUUAGGUAUUUCUAGUUGAGGGUGAAACUCUAAAGAGCUCUCAUUUCCUCAGUACGAUUGGGAGUAAAAAGGAGAAACAAAAGGGAUUUUCUUCAAAAAAAAAAAGAGGGAAAAUAGAAAUAGGAAACAAGAAAGGAGAUCCAAGUGGCCAUGUGCCUUAUGAUCUUCUACAUGCUCAGCCUACCCUCAUGGGUCGAAACUAGGAGCAGGACAUCUUUAUACCUAAAAGAGGAAGAAGAGUAAAUGAG